UUGCUUACAUCAUAUUAGCCCAUUUAAUUUCUGUCUUGGGUAUCCAGAAUUUGGUUGCUACUCAGUGGACAACUACUUGAAUCUUGGUUGUCCUCCAUUUAUGGCGUUGAGCAUAGUGUCCGAAAGUAAAUAUCUGGUAGUUUAAAGAUUAGUGAUUUGGUGCUAGGCAAUAAUCUACCUCACAUUUCCUGUUUCCUAUAUUUUGGUCAUUCUAGUUAGCAUUCCUCCAUUUUAAAUCAAAUGAUUAAAUGAUGAUAGAUGUGAUUCUUGAAUUGAUUGGGUUGAUUGUUUUGCAUUUUAAUGUUUAUCCAUUUAACUUGAUUUUCUUGUAGUGGUAGGAGCCGCAGCUAUGAUCGGAGACGGUACUCACCUCAAUAUUCCAGAUCUCCACCUCCACGUUACGCAAGGUCACGAUCCCGCAGCCGUGGCUAUAUUCCUAAAAGGAGGCAGUACUCUAGGUAUGCCAGAGUAUUAUUUUAUGUUUAUUGUACGUUUAUGUUGUAUUAAAUCCUUGGUGUAACUAAAGGUGCUCUAGGUCUUUAAUUACAUGUGUGCAUCCAACAACCAACCAAGGUGUUAGCCUAUCUGCUGAUGUUAACUUCAAUUUUGUGCAUCAUUGCAUGUUGCUUGGCUUAUAUUAUCACUUGGGUUGCUUUUUGUGCGAAAAAUUAUAUUUUAGAUUUUUGUUCAAAUCCAAAUUUCCAUCUUUUUGUUAAUGAUGAUUUACUCCUCACUUUGCAGGUCUGUUUCACCUGAAGAGAAAAGAUACAACCGUGAGAGAUCAUACUCGCAUUCCCCUGCAGGGGACAUUUCUCCACCGUAUAAUGGCUCAAGGAGUCGCAGUCAAACUCCAGUCAGAGAGCAUUCACCAUAUGAUGAUGGUCGAAGGAGCCGCAGCAGAAGUCCAGUUAAGGAGCG
This 918-nucleotide long non-coding RNA is filed under the name Nicotiana tabacum (common tobacco). RNAcentral describes it as "long non-coding RNA (NTAB_LNC011410)". The record is from RNAcentral. Lineage: Eukaryota; Viridiplantae; Streptophyta; Magnoliopsida; Solanales; Solanaceae.